GAGGUUCCAUUAUUUCCAAGAACAUUCAAGUAAAAAGUCCCCAAGCCACAGCCAAGUCCUGAUCUAGUGUAGAUAACCCCAGCAGUGAACCCUGUACCCUCAAACACAAAGCAAGGCUCCGAAGAACCAGCUUCAUCUUUCACAAAAAAAAAAAUUUUUGGUAUUAAAAGGAAGCAUUUUACUAUAUAAUAGGAGUUAAAGCUUCUGAAAAUCUUUAUCAAAAAAGAAAGAGAACACCACCACCACCACCAUCCUGGGCACAAUGAGAAAGCUUUACAAUCAAAAGCACCUUUUCCUUUUCCAUCUUUCACAAAAUUUAACAGAAGUUUCUACGCUAAGUGAAUGCCAACAUGAAGCCUGGAGAGUUGACCUCUCCCUCCCCUCCCAAUAAGGCAGGGACGUGGUUAAAAUAAUCUGCACAUGUUUUGACACCUCCCCUCCCCUGCCUAGAUGUUUCCAUGAAACCAGAGGGGCGGCCAGCAUUUUAGAAAGCCUUGCUCUCUGGAAACUUUCCCAGGCUGAAGAGGCCCCUGGAAACCUGCUCCCUCCCACAGGGCCCCUCCAGCAAGAAAGGGCAUCUAAAAGGGGUGUCAGGCCUCUCUCUGGGCUGCUUGCUCCAGAACUGAAUACCCCGUAAGAGCAGAAGAUUUGGUUUUGACACGCUUCUAAUGGUUGUCCUUCCAGCUAGUCAGGGUUUUAAGUGUUUCCCAAGUAUUUAUUUUUUAAAAUGAUGCCCUGUACCUUCAAGAACUGAAUUUCACUUUUGCAUUUUCCACUUUCGUCUCCCAGUACUAACUCCCCGGAACAGUGCCAAGGCGAGUGGCGAGGCUGUGCCUGGGUACUGGGCGCUGCACUGUGCUCUCAAAGGGGGGAAUGCCUUCCCCAUGGCCCACACCUCUAGAGCUUGGGAGAGUACAGCCUUCAGGUAAAAUGAUUUACUUUCAGGUAAAAUGAUUUACUUCAAGGCAGCAAGCUCUACGUUCUACUCAGUGGGAUUUUCAAGCGGCCCUGUCGCCAGAGCCUUAAAACAGUAGAUACCGGAGUUCCCGUCGUGGCGCAUGCUUAACGAAUCCAACUAGGAACCAUGAGGUUGCGGUUCGGUCCCUGGCCUUGCUCAGUGGGUUAAGGAUCCGGCAUUGCUGUGAGCUGUGGUGUAGGUUGCAGACGCAGCUCGGAUCCCACGUUGCCAUGGCUCUGGCACAGGCUGGUGGCUACAGCUCCGAUUAGAACCCUAGGCUGGGAACCUCCAUGUGCCAUGGGAGUGGCCCUAGAAUGGCAAAAAGACACACACACACACACACACACACACACACACACAAAACAGUAUUUGAAUUGGGCCUUAAAGAAACAGUAAGAUUUGGAUGCCGAUCAAAACUACUAUGAGAUAUCACCUUACACCAGCGAGAAUGGCCAUCAUCAAAAAGUCUACAAAUAAUAAAUGCUGGUGAGGGUACGGAGAAAAGGGAAGGAACCCUCUUACGCUGUUGGGGAGAAUGAAAAUUAGUGCAACCACUAUGGAAAAGAGAAUGGAGGUUCCUCAAAAAACUAAAAAUAAAACUACCAUGUGGUCCAGCAAUUCCUCUCCUGGGCAUCUCUCUGGAGAAAACCAUAAUUCAAAAAGAUAUGUGUACCCCCAGUGUUCAUUGCAGCACGACUCACAAUAGCCAAGACAUGGAAGAAACCUAAACGUUGACAGAGGAGUGAAUAAAGAAGAUGUGGUACAACAUAAAUACAAUGGAAUAUUUCUC
This 1748-nucleotide long non-coding RNA is filed under the name Sus scrofa (pig). Its description in RNAcentral is "lncRNA (ENSSSCG00015065135.1)". The record is from RNAcentral. Lineage: Eukaryota; Metazoa; Chordata; Mammalia; Artiodactyla; Suidae.